GACGAACGCUGGCGGCGUGCUUAACACAUGCAAGUCGAGCGAGGAACUUCGGUUCCUAGCGGCGGACGGGUGAGUAACACGUGGGCAACCUGCCUCACAAUGGGGGAUAGCCUUCCGAAAGGAAGAUUAAUACCCCAUAAUACAAAGGAAACGCAUGUUUCUUUUGCCAAAGAAUUUCGUUGUGAGAUGGGCCCGCGGCGCAUUAGCUUGUUGGUGAGGUAACGGCUCACAAGGGCUUCGAUGCGUAGCCGACCUGAGAGGGUGAUCGGCCACAUUGGAACUGAGACACGGUCCAGACUCCUACGGGAGGCAGCAGUGGGGAAUAUUGCACAAUGGAGGAAACUCUGAUGCAGCAACGCCGCGUGAGUGAUGAAGGUCUUCGGAUUGUAAAGCUCUGUCUUCUGGGACGAUAAUGACGGUACCAGAGGAGGAAGCCACGGCUAACUACGUGCCAGCAGCCGCCGCUG
This 467-nucleotide ribosomal RNA is filed under the name uncultured bacterium. Its description in RNAcentral is "partial 16S ribosomal RNA". It matches the Rfam family "Bacterial small subunit ribosomal RNA", at positions 28 to 523 of the family's 1533-position model. The record is from RNAcentral.